This 436-nucleotide long non-coding RNA is filed under the name Mytilus galloprovincialis (Mediterranean mussel). The record is from RNAcentral. Lineage: Eukaryota; Metazoa; Mollusca; Bivalvia; Mytilida; Mytilidae.
UUUGAAAUUCGGAGGCGAAAAUUCCAGUUGUGUUGGUGACUGUAAAUGCUACCGUUCUGUCCUUCCUUGUACGAGUUUUGUUAUUGGCUACUGUCAGAUAAUUAUAAGAUAACGAACCUGUCUUUCUAUCAAAAUUAGGCAUUUAAUCUUAACAAAAAUUAAAAAAUUUGGCCGCCAUUUUGAAACCGGAAAUCACUCUUUUUUGUCAUUUAUGUGUUGUUUUUUCGUACUUUAGGAACUGUUAUUAACGCUUUAUAAAAACUUACAUUGGAUUAUACCUAUAACACAACUUUCAAGGAUUUCAACUGGAUAUGACUCCAUUUGCAAAAUUAUCGGUGGCCAUCUUGAAAAAAUGGAAAUAUUUGAUUGCCAGCACCUGAUUUCUUUUACUUAUCAUUUAGUCCACCUUUAUACCAAAUUUCAUGCUUGUAUUUCA